Molecule: long non-coding RNA, 621 nt
Filed under: Brassica rapa (field mustard)
Lineage: Eukaryota; Viridiplantae; Streptophyta; Magnoliopsida; Brassicales; Brassicaceae
Description: long non-coding RNA (BRAP_LNC007187)
Source: RNAcentral
CAGUUGUUCCGCAGUAUGCGUUUCUCUUAUACAAACCGCAGUUAAACAGUACCGCACUAUCCAAUCCGUUUGUCUCAUACCGCUCAAACCGCUGUUACCAUUUGAAGCCUACACUUCUAACCACACCAUAUUCAUCUCUUGUUAAACACAGGUGUGGUUGAAGACCAAAACUUUUCUCACACUCUGUCCCACACUACUCUUUUAUUAUUUAUUUAUUUAUAAAACUAAUAGAAACACAAGUGAAUGGUAAAACACAUUCUCUAUCAUCGUGUGUUCUUCUCAUCCCGCAACUAACAUUCAAGGCCAAAGUCUCUAACUAGUAAUGAUGCUCAUUUUGAUGUAGUCAUGGUUCGUAUUUAACCGGAAUUUUGUAAAAUAUAUACUUGUUGGCACGAUUUUGACUUAAAUCAAUCACGUGUUCUUGCAUUUCUCACGUUCGAAAUUUUUUCUUCCAUGUACUUAUUUUUUUUAUCUUUUUUUUAUUUUUAACAUCAUUUCAUUAGUUGGGCAACUAUUGGGUAUAAAUCAUAAAGCUCAAUGGGGAAAACAAGUUAUAAGAACAUCUAUGUUGAUAGAUUUCAAGAUAACCACUUAGGGCCUAUCCAAUGGUUGCUAUCAAAU